UACAGAGGUCCCAAGCGUUGUUCGGAUUCACUGGGCGUAAAGGGUGCGUAGGUGGCCGGUUAAGUCUGACGUGAAAUCUCCGAGCCUAACUCGGAAACUGCAUCGGAAACUAGCCGGCUCGAGGGUUGGAGGGGGGACUGGAAUACUUGGUGUAGCAGUGAAAUGCGUAGAUAUCAAGUGGAACACCAGUGGCGAAGGCGAGUCCCUGGACAACUCCUGACACUGAGGCACGAAAGCUAGGGGAGCAAACAGG
Molecule: ribosomal RNA, 253 nt
Filed under: uncultured bacterium
Lineage: Bacteria
Description: partial 16S ribosomal RNA
Rfam family: Bacterial small subunit ribosomal RNA
Source: RNAcentral